AGAAGAAUCUAGUAACAUUGUAUUCUUAUACGUUAUCUACUUUUGUUGUAAGAAUUCGUUUUAAUACCAAGUUCUUUGUAAGGAUUGGUUACCUUUUUAUUAUCAAACCAUUUGGAAGGAUUACAUUUGGUUAUCGUUUUAGUAUCAAGUCCUUUAGCAGGAUUAAAUUUGAGUAAAACAAAUGGAGAGGGGAUAACAAAAGCGAAUAUAUAUUCCGUCAAACUUGACGACGACUAGUAUCACAAUGAGUUCGCAGAGGAUAUAAAUUAUAUAUACGUAUGGUCUAUACAGGUAUGAGACUGGAGACACUCGUCCGUUCGAUUUAUCGUAAAUUAACAAUAUCUUGACAUCAAUAUUAUCUAUGACAAGGUGAAUAACGGGAUUGGCACGCUUUAUCUAUCAAUGCAAAUAUGAUAGGGCAACGAUUGCGAGAUAUACCUUAGGAAAACCCCAAGUUGCUUGUACAAAGACGUCUGAAUGCCUAUCCGCAUUCACACGAGAUUGCACGUGUUUUCUUAAGAGAUUGCUACGCUUGAAACCGAAUACACACGGUUUGGAGAAGUGGUGAGCGCGUUCAGGAUUCACUUCGCGAUCAAAUGCACGAUUGUGGAUUUGUCGCAGCACCUUCCCACUCAGCCGAUUUCUCGGCGGAGAUGUUCAGGUGGAAACGUGCAUGAAGCCGAAAUCAGGUUGUGACACCUAGGAGUGCGAAUCCGAUCGUGAUUUCCGCGGAAUCCUACUGUGACAACUUACCCGAAAACGCUCACCUCUCACCCGUUUCCUUCAGCAAAAGACACAGACUCGCUCUCGUUGCAUGCCUUCGUGAAUUUACUGCUUUUGACUACUACGUGGUCACACCGGAUUGGGCGUCGUUACAAAUCACAAUGCAGCAGUGCCACGGCUCGGUUGUGCUCGUGACUCCUCGGUUUGAGGCGCGUAUGCAACGAGAGUAAGUUAGGCGGUUUGACUAAGUUACUUGAUCGGUUUGAUCACUCGAUUGGAUACCGGUUUUCGCUGAAGAAAUUGUACGUGCUGUCGCGGUCGCUUCCAAACGUAGAGUGCCGGUUCUAGUUCUCGCAUCGAGCUCCUUCGAUUCAGGAUCGAGUGGGAUCGAUGCGCACGCAUCCUCUUUUGGUAGGGUGCUUCUCCUAAUUUCUCCUCCUCGUAGAAGCGAUUCCCGGUUUCUGAUAAGGGAUACCCCUUGACUAGCUCAUAGUACGCGCGUCGAUCUCCCUUGAUCGGAUAUCGAGUGGGAAUCGAGGCGCACGCGUGUCAUAUGCCGCGACUAUCCCGAAUUCUCCUCUUCGCGAAUAAAAGGAGGAUACAAGUCUUCCAUGAGUGGGGAUCGCCCCUUAAUCGUUUAUGUAGUUAUAUGUAACCAGCACGGAUACAAUCAUUUUUUUUUUAUUUUUUUUAUUUUUUAUGUAAUAAAAAGAAUAUUUGUGAAUAUAUGUUUGUGAAAAUCAAUGCCCACCUCCCUUAUCUCCAGUAUUCUCAUCGCCAACGAAUGAUGUCACCUCUACCGUUUCUUUAAUAUCUAGUCCUUGAGAAAUUGUAUCGCGUAAAUAAAAGAUUUGCUGCUGGAUUGUAAUUUGCAAACUUUGCGUUUUUGGAUCUUCUGCUCGAGGCCAUCAUAGCGAGACGUUCCUACCGAUAUCGCGCGCUCUAUAAAGAUUGUAAUGUAAUAUUAUAUGUUGCACGGGGCAUGAGUGCGAGGAAGAAAAUACUCGGGCGCGAGAGAGAGGGAACCCGCGGGGCCCGCAACGACGCUCCCACUCCUGUGUGCGAAGAAGACGGUGUUACGUAUACAGAAACUCGCUGUUUGUUUCCGAAGCUCGCGUUCAUCAAUUUUAUUUUAUCUACCCUCCUGGAAUUUGGAGCUCGGUCUCCCUGGAGUGCAUCCUGCAGCUGCAUAUUCUUAACAUCAUCUUCGACUUGCGUUGUGUGGGAAGACUUCUUAUCUACCCUUUCCCAGGGAACGCAGCUGCUCACCUCAGAGCCACGAAAAUCCUAACCGUCAGAUUUCCAAAUAUAGAAAUCACCGACGGAUCCCCACCAACAUUUAGGGGUAUAUAAACCCACGAUUUUCGUUGCUCUGCGGGAUUAGAACGAUAGAGUUACGUAGAGUCACAUCACGUCCAUCGUUGCAGAGUGUGCUUUAGUGAGAUCGGGCUUCAGUUUCCCUUUCGAUCAAGUUAACCUUAUAGAUCCGCGAAGACGGUUUUCAUCUAUUACGGCAUUUAGAAUCACACUCGACCCCCGCAUCGCCAGUGCGUUAACACCGUGCAACAAUUAGGCAAUUAAAUUCAACGUUUACUACACACGACCGCGAUAACACAACACUGCACAUUUGUAACUUAGUAUAGUUAUUCUGAAUAUAUAUUCUUUUGUGUAAAUUCAAAGUUUCCUAAGUCAAUUACUAAACCUUCACGAUAUAACAAGCAAUCCUAGCCUGUGUAACGAUCCCACAACAUAAUAACUUUGCCGCUCGAGUUAUUAUUCAAUUAAAUUAAUAAGUUGCGAGGCUUUAUCCGCGACGCGUAGUAUUCAUCAACGAUACGAUUUAAGCUCAGUGUAUUUAACCCGAAUUCCCUAAUUCAACCUAUCCUGCGGUUACCCUUUACUGGGAGAUACCGAUUCCUGCUAGCUAUCUGACUUCACGCUAGAGUCGCUGCACUUUUCCAACAACUUCACAAUUGGAACCUUACCCUACGGUUACCCUUUACUGGGAGAUACCGAUUCCUGCAGCUAUCUGACUUAGCGUCAGAGGCGUCUGCAUUUGUCUCCAAUAACCAAGACAACCAAACACCCAACCCUACGGUUACCCUUCACUGGGAGAUACCGAUUCCUGCAACUAUCUGACUUCACGUAAGAGUCGUCUGCAUUGU
Hylaeus volcanicus is the source of this 2888-nucleotide long non-coding RNA. RefSeq lists it as uncharacterized. Lineage: Eukaryota; Metazoa; Arthropoda; Insecta; Hymenoptera; Colletidae. The transcript is spliced from 3 exons. The record is from RefSeq and is a predicted model, not a curated record.